Tupaia belangeri chinensis (Chinese tree shrew) is the source of this 631-nucleotide long non-coding RNA. RefSeq lists it as uncharacterized. The transcript is spliced from 4 exons. NCBI's taxonomy places the organism in Eukaryota, Metazoa, Chordata, Mammalia, Scandentia, Tupaiidae. The record is from RefSeq and is a predicted model, not a curated record.
CAGGUGAAAAGAGACAAACUGGGUGUCUGGCUGACAUGCAGUGGUAGAACAUGUGGCUCACCAGGAAAGUACCAGGCAAUAAAAGAGAGUCAACAAAGAGAUUAGAGUGAAGAAACAGAAAAAGGAUGAAAUUCCAGGAAAAGGAGGAUUUCAAAGGGAAAAAAGUAUCUUCUAUUUCAUGGAGAAAAUAAUUGAAUAUACUUUUCACGUCCACUUGGAAUAUUAAAUGACAGCAAUACAGGAUAUGCUAAUCCUACAUUAAUUUACUGCAUAUGAAAAAUAUAAGGAUUUAUGUGAGAGUGCCGUAUGAAGAAGAAUAGUAUUUCAAGUAUCCUCACAACUCUCAAAUAGACUGUAAGAAAUGCUGAAAAGCUAGACGAAGGGUUCUCUACCUCUGAAAAUUCAUAGACAAACAGAUUAAGAAGAAUAUAACUGGUCGAAAGGCAACUCUCUUGAGAUUAUUCUAAGGUACAGGGUAGAGUGCCCUUCUAAUCUGACUUACUUCCAUCAGCAGGACAUGUGCACUCACCCCAGAGGGAGAGAGAGAAUGAAGAAGCAAGCCAUCAUAUCCAAGACUGAACUGGAUGGCCACGUCGGAGUCCAGUGCCUUAAUGACCAUGCCACCUGUUGG